GCCAGCUAAGGUCCCAAAAUCACAGCUCAGUGGUGAACGAUGUGGGAAGGCUAAGACAGCCAGGAGGUUGGCUUAGAAGCAGCCAUCCUUUAAAGAAAGCGUAAUAGCUCACUGGUCGAGUCGGCCUGCGCGGAAGAUGUAACGGGGCUAAGCUGUGUACCGAAGCUGCGGAUGCAGAGCAAUCUGCGUGGUAGAGGAGCGUUCUGUAAGCCUGCGAAGGUGAGUUGUAAAGCUUGCUGGAGGUAUCAGAAGUGCGAAUGCUGACAUGAGUAGCGACAAUGCGGGUGAAAAACCCGCACGCCGAAAGCCCAAGGUUUCCCACGCAACGCUAAUCGGCGUGGGGGUGAGUCGGCCCCUAAGGCGAGGCAGAAAUGCGUAGUCGAUGGGAAGCAGGUUAAUAUUCCUGCACUUUGAUUCAUUGCGAUGGGGGG
This 431-nucleotide ribosomal RNA is filed under the name uncultured bacterium. RNAcentral describes it as "bacterial LSU rRNA". It matches the Rfam family "Bacterial large subunit ribosomal RNA", at positions 1034 to 1471 of the family's 2925-position model. The record is from RNAcentral.